UACGGAGGGUGCAAGCGUUAUCCGGAUUCACUGGGUUUAAAGGGUGCGUAGGUGGGUCUGUAAGUCCGUGGUGAAAUCUCCGAGCUUAACUUGGAAACUGCCAUGGAUACUAUAGGUCUUGAAUACUGUGGAGGUUAGCGGAAUAUGUCAUGUAGCGGUGAAAUGCUUAGAUAUGACAUAGAACACCAAUUGCGAAGGCAGCUGGCUACACAAAUAUUGACACUGAUGCACGAAAGCGUGGGGAUCAAACAGG
Molecule: ribosomal RNA, 253 nt
Filed under: uncultured bacterium
Lineage: Bacteria
Description: partial 16S ribosomal RNA
Rfam family: Bacterial small subunit ribosomal RNA
Source: RNAcentral